RNAcentral lists this ribosomal RNA (229 nucleotides) under uncultured bacterium. RNAcentral's name for it is "partial 16S ribosomal RNA". It matches the Rfam family "Bacterial small subunit ribosomal RNA", at positions 568 to 796 of the family's 1533-position model. The record is from RNAcentral.
AGUGUAGGCGGCUAUUUAAGUCGGAUGUGAAAGCCCUGGGCUCAACCUGGGAAUUGCAUUCGAAACUGGGUAGCUAGAGUUUGGUAGAGGUAAGUGGAAUUCCGGGUGUAGCGGUGAAAUGCGUAGAUAUCCGGAGGAACAUCAGUGGCGAAGGCGGCUUACUGGACCAAAACUGACGCUAAGGCUCGAAAGCGUGGGGAGCAAACAGGAUUAGAUACCCUGGUAGUCC